Molecule: long non-coding RNA, 212 nt
Filed under: Mytilus galloprovincialis (Mediterranean mussel)
Lineage: Eukaryota; Metazoa; Mollusca; Bivalvia; Mytilida; Mytilidae
Source: RNAcentral
UGAUUCAGGAAUUACAGAUGGUGUUGAACUAUUUAGAUAUACUGUAGUGUUUGGAAGAAAGUAGUCAUGAGCGUUUUUGGGUUAAGGAUCACUGUGAAGAGUAGACGAUUGGAUGUAUCAUAUGUGUAUAUAGACAGUUUUGUAGUGUAUAUAGUGUACAUAUAGUUAAAUAUGAGUCCGUCGGAUGGGGACGUUUAAUCCGAGGCCCCAUG